RNAcentral lists this ribosomal RNA (554 nucleotides) under uncultured bacterium. RNAcentral describes it as "partial 16S ribosomal RNA". It matches the Rfam family "Bacterial small subunit ribosomal RNA", at positions 355 to 900 of the family's 1533-position model. The record is from RNAcentral.
UAGGGAAUCUUCGGCAAUGGGGGCAACCCUGACCGAGCAACGCCGCGUGAGUGAAGAAGGUUUUCGGAUCGUAAAGCUCUGUUGUAAGUCAAGAACGGGUGUGAGAGUGGAAAGUUCACACUGUGACGGUAGCUUACCAGAAAGGGACGGCUAACUACGUGCCAGCAGCCGCGGUAAUACGUAGGUCCCGAGCGUUGUCCGGAUUUAUUGGGCGUAAAGCGAGCGCAGGCGGUUUGAUAAGUCUGAAGUUAAAGGCUGUGGCUCAACCAUAGUUCGCUUUGGAAACUGUCAAACUUGAGUGCAGAAGGGGAGAGUGGAAUUCCANGUGUAGCGGUGAAAUGCGUAGAUAUAUGGAGGAACACCGGUGGCGAAAGCGGCUCUCUGGUCUGUAACUGACGCUGAGGCUCGAAAGCGUGGGGAGCGAACAGGAUUAGAUACCCUGGUAGUCCACGCCGUAAACGAUGAGUGCUAGGUGUUGGAUCCUUUCCGGGAUUCAGUGCCGCAGCUAACGCAUUAAGCACUCCGCCUGGGGAGUACGACCGCAAGGUUGAAAC